GGGGAAUCUUGCGCAAUGGGGGAAACCCUGACGCAGUGACGCCGCGUGAACGAUGAAGUCCUUCGGGAUGUAAAGUUCUGUCAGGCGGGAAGAACCUCCCCCCGAUGCAAAUCGGGGGGAAAUGACGGUACCGCCAGAGGAAGCACUGGCUAAUUCCGUGCCAGCAGCCGCGGUAAGACGGAGAGUGCAAGCGUUGUUCGGAAUUACUAGGCGUAAAGCGCGUGUAGGUGGUUAGUUAAGUCGGAUGUGAAAAUUCCAAGCUUAACUUGGAACUGGCAUUCGAAACUGGUUAACUUGAGUGUAGGAGAGGAGAGCGGAAUUCCUAGUGUAGCGGUGAAAUGCGUAGAUAUUAGGAAGAACACCGGUGGCGAAGGCGGCUCUCUGGCCUAAAACUGACACUGAGACGCGAAAGCGUGGGUAGCAAACAG
This 428-nucleotide ribosomal RNA is filed under the name uncultured bacterium. RNAcentral describes it as "bacterial SSU rRNA". It matches the Rfam family "Bacterial small subunit ribosomal RNA", at positions 356 to 775 of the family's 1533-position model. The record is from RNAcentral.